Molecule: long non-coding RNA, 209 nt
Filed under: Homo sapiens (human)
Lineage: Eukaryota; Metazoa; Chordata; Mammalia; Primates; Hominidae
Description: non-protein coding lnc-GLI3-1:2
Source: RNAcentral
UUCAUUUGGUAGCUUAGAGUCCCAGGAUUAAGAUAUGGUGAUGCAUGGAGGGAGAACCCCACUCUGGGAAGAGAAGAGCAACAGCAUCUCCUGUCUCCCUCAGUCCAGGCUUUGUGCCAGAUUAUCUCACGGAUCCUCACAAGUACACAGCCUAGGGUGACUUAAAAGAAGAAGAGAUUAAGACACAGACAGAUACAGAGGAAAGAUUA